Molecule: ribosomal RNA, 497 nt
Filed under: uncultured bacterium
Lineage: Bacteria
Description: partial 16S ribosomal RNA
Rfam family: Bacterial small subunit ribosomal RNA
Source: RNAcentral
GAUGAACGCUGGCGGCGUGCCUAAUACAUGCAAGUCGAGCGAACAGACGAGGCGCUUGCUCCUCUGACGUUAGCGGCGGACGGGUGAGUAACACGUGGAUAACCUACCUAUAAGACUGGGAUAACUUCGGGAAACCGGAGCUAAUACCGGAUAAUAUAUUGAACCGCAUGGUUCAAUAGUGAAAGACGGUUUUGCUGUCACUUAUAGAUGUAUCCGCGCCGCAUGAGCUAGUUGGUAAGGUAACGGCUUACCAAGGCGACGAUGCGUAGCCGACCUGAGAGGGUGAUCGGCCACACUGGAACUGAGACACGGUCCAGACACCUACGGGAGGCAGCAGUAGGGAAUCCUCCGCAAUGGGCGAAAGCCUGACGGAGCAACGCCGAGUGAGUGAUGAAGGUCUUCGGAUCGUAAAACUCUGUUAUUAGGGAAGAACAAAUGUGUAAGUAACUAUGCACGUCUUGACGGUACCUAAUCAGAAAGCCACGGCUAACUACGUG